GACGAACGCUGGCGGCGUGCUUAACACAUGCAAGUCGAACGGUGAAGGGACUGGUUUUGCUGGUCCUGGAUGAGUGGCGAACGGGUGAGUAACACGUGAGUAACCUGCCCCCUUCUUCUGGAUAACCGCAUGAAAGUGUGGCUAAUACGGGAUAUUCUGGGUCUGUCGCAUGGUGGGCCUGGGAAAGAUUGCGCCUUUUUUGGUGUUUUUGGUGGGGGAUGGGCUCGCGGCCUAUCAGCUUGUUGGUGGGGUGAUGGCCUACCAAGGCGGUGACGGGUAGCCGGCCUGAGAGGGUGGACGGUCACACUGGGACUGAGACACGGCCCAGACUCCUACGGGAGGCAGCAGUGGGGAAUAUUGCACAAUGGGCGCAAGCCUGAUGCAGCGACGCCGCGUGAGGGAUGGAGGCCGUCGGGUUGUGAACCUCUUUCGCCAGUGAAGCAGGCCUGCCUCUUUUUGUGGGUGGGUUGACGGUAGCUGGAGAAGAAGCGCCGGCUAACUACGUG
This 506-nucleotide ribosomal RNA is filed under the name uncultured bacterium. RNAcentral describes it as "partial 16S ribosomal RNA". It matches the Rfam family "Bacterial small subunit ribosomal RNA", at positions 28 to 507 of the family's 1533-position model. The record is from RNAcentral.